Molecule: ribosomal RNA, 245 nt
Filed under: uncultured bacterium
Lineage: Bacteria
Description: partial 16S ribosomal RNA
Rfam family: Bacterial small subunit ribosomal RNA
Source: RNAcentral
UACGAAGGUUGCGAGCGUUGUUCGGAAUCACUGGGCUUAAAGAGCACGUAGGCGGCCCAUCAAGUGCCUUGUGAAAUCCCACGGCUCAACCGUGGAAUUGCUUGGCAUACUGUUCGGGCUUGAGGCAGGUAGGGGCACGUGGAACUCUUGGUGGAGCGGUGGAAUGCGUAGAUAUCAAGAGGAACGCCGGAGGCGAAAGCGAUGUGCUGGGCCUGUCCUGACGCUGAGGUGCGAAAGCCAGGGGA